ACGAACGCUGGCGGCGUGCUUAACACAUGCAAGUCGAACGGAAAGGCCCUGCUUUUGUGGGGUGCUCGAGUGGCGAACGGGUGAGUAACACGUGAGUAACCUGCCCUUGACUUUGGGGUAACUUCAGGAAACUGGGGCUAAUACCGGAUAGGAGCUCCUGCUGCAUGGUGGGGGUUGGAAAGUUUCGGCGGUUGGGGAUGGACUCGCGGCUUAUCAGCUUGUUGGUGGGGUAGUGGCUUACCAAGGCUUUGACGGGUAGCCGGCCUGAGAGGGUGACCGGCCACAUUGGGACUGAGAUACGGCCCAGACUCCUACGGGAGGCAGCAGUGGGGAAUAUGGCACAAUGGGCGGAAGCCUGAUGCAGCAACGCCGCGUGCGGGAUGACGGCCUUCGGGUUGUAAACCGCUUUCGCCUGUGACGAAGCGUGAGUGACGGUAAUGGGUAAAGAAGCACCGGCUAACUACGUG
This 467-nucleotide ribosomal RNA is filed under the name uncultured bacterium. RNAcentral describes it as "partial 16S ribosomal RNA". It matches the Rfam family "Bacterial small subunit ribosomal RNA", at positions 29 to 507 of the family's 1533-position model. The record is from RNAcentral.